RNAcentral lists this transfer RNA (67 nucleotides) under Ictidomys tridecemlineatus (thirteen-lined ground squirrel). Its description in RNAcentral is "Spermophilus tridecemlineatus (thirteen-lined ground squirrel) tRNA". It matches the Rfam family "tRNA". Rfam says of the family: Transfer RNA (tRNA) molecules are approximately 80 nucleotides in length. Their secondary structure includes four short double-helical elements and three loops (D, anti-codon, and T loops). Further hydrogen bonds mediate the characteristic L-shaped molecular structure. tRNAs have two regions of fundamental functional importance: the anti-codon, which is responsible for specific mRNA codon recognition, and the 3' end, to which the tRNAs corresponding amino acid is attached (by aminoacyl-tRNA synthetases). tRNAs cope with the degeneracy of the genetic code in two manners: having more than one tRNA (with a specific anti-codon) for a particular amino acid; and 'wobble' base-pairing, i.e. permitting non-standard base-pairing at the 3rd anti-codon position. The record is from Rfam by way of RNAcentral. Lineage: Eukaryota; Metazoa; Chordata; Mammalia; Rodentia; Sciuridae.
UGUUGUAGCUCAAUGGUUGAGUGCUUGCCUUGCAUGCAUGAGGCACUGGGUUCAAUCCUCAGCGUCA